UCCUGGCUUAGGAUGAACGCUAGCGAUAGGCCUAACACAUGCAAGUCGAGGGCAUCACAUGAAGUAGCAAUGCGGAUGGUGGCGACCGGCGCACGGGUGAGUAACACGUAUGCAACCUGCCUUCAACAAGGGGAUAACCCGUUGAAAGACGGACUAAUACCCUAUAACACAGGGGCCCCGCAUGGGGAUAUUUGUUAAAGAUUAAUCGGUUGAAGAUGGGCAUGCGUUCCAUUAGCUAGUUGGUGGGGUAAUGGCCCACCAAGGCAACGAUGGAUAGGGGAACUGAGAGGUUUAUCCCCCACACUGGUACUGAGACACGGACCAGACUCCUACGGGAGGCAGCAGUGAGGAAUAUUGGUCAAUGGACGCAAGUCUGAACCAGCCACGUCGCGUGAAGGAAGACGGCCCUACGGGUUGUAAACUUCUUUUGCAAGGGAAUAAAGUGAGUCACGUGUGACUUUUUGCAAGUACCUUGCGAAUAAGGAUCGGCUAACUCCGUGCCAGCAGCUGC
RNAcentral lists this ribosomal RNA (511 nucleotides) under uncultured bacterium. RNAcentral's name for it is "bacterial SSU rRNA". It matches the Rfam family "Bacterial small subunit ribosomal RNA", at positions 17 to 518 of the family's 1533-position model. The record is from RNAcentral.